ACCUCCUGGAUGCCAGCCACUCCCGCGGUGGGAGGGAUGACGCAUUUCGGUGUGUAAACUCCUUUUAUAUAGGAAGAUAAUGACGGUACUAUAUGAAUAAGCACCGGCUAACUCCGUGCCAGCAGCCGCGGUAAU
RNAcentral lists this ribosomal RNA (135 nucleotides) under uncultured bacterium. RNAcentral describes it as "partial 16S ribosomal RNA". The stretch from base 31 to 135 matches the Rfam family "Bacterial small subunit ribosomal RNA", at positions 403 to 524 of the family's 1533-position model. The record is from RNAcentral.